Molecule: ribosomal RNA, 253 nt
Filed under: uncultured bacterium
Lineage: Bacteria
Description: partial 16S ribosomal RNA
Rfam family: Bacterial small subunit ribosomal RNA
Source: RNAcentral
UACGGAGGGGGCGAGCGUUAUUCGGAAUUACUGGGCGUAAAGCGCGUGUAGGCGGCGCCGCAAGUCAGGGGUGAAAUCCCGGGGCUCAACCCCGGAAUUGCCUUUGAAACUGCGGUGCUUGAAUCAGGCAGAGGAGUGUGGAAUUCCUAGUGUAGGAGUGAAAUCCGUAGAUAUUAGGAGGAACACCAGUGGCGAAGGCGGCACUCUGGGCCUGUAUUGACGCUGAGACGCGAAAGCGUGGGGAGCAAACAGG